GGUUUACAACUUUUUUUUUAUUUCUUUUUUUGUUGGCACCUCACACCUACCUGUUUACAACUUAACCUAAUUUAAAAAAAAAUGAAAAAAAAAUUAAUAAAAAAAAAGACGCCGGCCGAUGUCCUUCCCAUGUUUCUAUCCUUGCUUCUUCUUCAUCACCGGCAAGAGUCACGAACGACGGCGAAAACUACAGAUUUCAGGGACUUGGUCAGAGGCGGUGAGUGAGGAAAGGCGGGAGAAUUCGGUGAAGAAGAGCGAGCUUCAGAUUUGGGAGGCGUUCACGAAUUUGGCAGUACAUCAAAGGAGGAGAUCUGGAUUCGUACAUGAGGAAGGGAGGCGUGGAAAAGAAGAUGAACGGUUAAAGGCUCGUGAAGGAUGAGAGAUAAGAAGAAAUUGUAGACUAGAUUAUGAGAUGCUAAGGAAAUAAAGAAGAAGAAUUGCAGAUGAGGAAGAGUUAAGCAAGAAGAAGUGUUAAGGAGGAGACUACGGGACGUGAAAGGAGGAGAGCAGAAGAUUAAAAAAAAGCAUCUGGACCAUUGAUUCAAAAUUAAUCAAUGGACACAGAUUACAAUCCUUGCAUUUAGAUAUUCCACCAAUGAGGAGGAGAGGCGGAG
This 614-nucleotide long non-coding RNA is filed under the name Brassica napus (rape). Its description in RNAcentral is "long non-coding RNA (BNAP_LNC021715)". Lineage: Eukaryota; Viridiplantae; Streptophyta; Magnoliopsida; Brassicales; Brassicaceae. The record is from RNAcentral.